Lolium rigidum is the source of this 112-nucleotide small nucleolar RNA. RefSeq annotates it as small nucleolar RNA Z118/Z121/Z120. The record is from RefSeq and is a predicted model, not a curated record. The transcript has a single exon. NCBI's taxonomy places the organism in Eukaryota, Viridiplantae, Streptophyta, Magnoliopsida, Poales, Poaceae.
UGUUUGCUGUGAUGAAUCGCAAGGACGGUAUCUGACAAAGGUUGCUCUUCGAAAAGGCUCCCUUUAUUGAUUACACACACAUCCUUAACUGAUCAUAUGUUCUGAGCAAACG